CCAGACUCCUACGGGAGGCAGCAGUGGGGAAUAUUGCACAAUGGGGGGAACCCUGAUGCAGCGACGCCGCGUGGGUGAAGGAGCACCUCGGUGCGUAAAGCCCUAUCGGCAGGGAAGAAAAGCGAACAGGUUCGCCUGGACGGUACCUGACUAAGAAGCCCCGGCUAACUACGUGCCAGCAGCCGCGGUAAUACGUAGGGGGCAAGCGUUAUCCGGAUUUACUGGGUGUAAAGGGAGCGUAGACGGUUGUGCAAGUCAGAAGUGAAAGCCCGGGGCUCAACUCCGGGACUGCUUUUGAAACUGUGAAACUGGAGUGCAGGAGAGGUAAGCGGAAUUCCUGGUGUAGCGGUGAAAUGCGUAGAUAUCAGGAGGAACACCAGUGGCGAAGGCGGCUUACUGGACUGUAACUGACGUUGAGGCUCGAAAGCGUGGGGAGCAAACAGGAUUAGAUACCCCGGUAAUA
RNAcentral lists this ribosomal RNA (463 nucleotides) under uncultured bacterium. Its description in RNAcentral is "bacterial SSU rRNA". It matches the Rfam family "Bacterial small subunit ribosomal RNA", at positions 331 to 795 of the family's 1533-position model. The record is from RNAcentral.